Molecule: ribosomal RNA, 465 nt
Filed under: uncultured bacterium
Lineage: Bacteria
Description: partial 16S ribosomal RNA
Rfam family: Bacterial small subunit ribosomal RNA
Source: RNAcentral
GACGAACGCUGGCGGCGUGCUUAACACAUGCAAGUCGAACGGAAAGGCCCCUUCGGGGGUCCUCGAGUGGCGAACGGGUGAGUAACACGUGAGUAACCUGCCCUUGACUUCGGGAUAACUUCAGGAAACUGGGGCUAAUACCGGAUAGGAAUCCUUGCUGCAUGGUGGGGGUUGGAAAGCUUCGGCGGUUUUGGAUGGACUCGCGGCUUAUCAGCUUGUUGGUGGGGUAGUGGCUUACCAAGGCUUUUACGGGUAGCCGGCCUGAGAGGGCGACCGGCCACAUUGGGUCUGAGAGACGGCCCAGGCUCCGACGGGUGGCAGCAGUGGGGAAUAUUGCACGAGGGGCGGAAGCCUGAUGCAGCAACGCCGCGUGCGGGAUGACGGCCUUCGGGUUGUAAACCGCUUUCAGCAGGGGCGAAGCUUGUGGUGACGGUACCUGCAGAAGAAGCACCGGCUAACUACGUG